Non-coding RNA from Xiphophorus couchianus (Monterrey platyfish), 578 nucleotides. Lineage: Eukaryota; Metazoa; Chordata; Actinopteri; Cyprinodontiformes; Poeciliidae. The record is from the annotation of a RefSeq genome assembly.
GCUCCAGUAGGCGGCGCUCUCCUUGUGCUCUGUGUUCCAGCAUUGUGUCAAUAAGAAGUGGUGCUGUGAAGAGAACAAUAGUCAGACUGAAUGUUGAACAUCAGCUGCUUCCUCCUGCUGAUUUAAACCUUGGUGGACAGAUGGAACAUUGGCUGUGGAUUAUUCUGGCUGCUCUUUUCUCUGAGUGUAAAGGAGACUCAGUGAAGCAGACAGAAGGAGAAGUUGUUGCUGCUGCAGGAGAAUCACUGACUCUGAGAUGUACUUAUGAGACCAGUGAUACAUAUCCAUAUCUGUUCUGGUACAAACAAGGAGAAAACAGUUUCCCAAAGUACAUGCUGAAGCGUUACUCCACAACUUCAGAAAAUUCUCCAGAGUUCAGUGAAGACAGAUUUGAUGCUGAUCUCAACACCGAGGCAAAAGAGAAAUCAGUCAACCUGAAGAUCCAGGAUCUCCGUCUGUCAGACUCUGCUGUGUACUACUGCGCUCUGCGGCCCACAGUGACAGGAAACACCAGAACCCUGCACAAAAACCUGCAGUACUCCACAGCAGCCACUAGAGGGCCUCACAUCCUUCUCUAG